CAGUACUUAAACAGGGUCUGCCUUUAGAGGAACUCUGAGUCCUGGAGAGUAGAGAAGAGCAACCGCCACCAGUUCAGCUUCAACACAAACCAUGUACCCUGCAUCUCUACUGCUGAUGCUGGCAGCUGCCUCCUGUGUUCACUGUGAAGAACUCACUCAGCCAGCCUCUAUGACUGUCCAGUCAGGUCAACCACUGACCAUCUCUUGUAAGGUUUCAUAUUCUGUAGGUAGCUAUUACACAGCUUGGAUCCGGCAGCCUGCAGGGAAAACACUGGAGUGGAUUGGAAUGAAAUAUACUGGAGGAACGCACCACAAAGACUCCCUGAAAAAUAAGUUCAGCCUCACAGUAGACUCCUCCAGCAAUACUGUGACUUUAACAGGACAGAGUCUGCAGACUGAGGACACAGCUGUGUAUUAUUGUGCUCGCCUCCACAGUGAUACAAACCACCACCAGACCUAUACUAAAACUCACUCAACCUUUAAACAGUAG
Oncorhynchus mykiss (rainbow trout) is the source of this 490-nucleotide non-coding RNA. Lineage: Eukaryota; Metazoa; Chordata; Actinopteri; Salmoniformes; Salmonidae. The record is from the annotation of a RefSeq genome assembly.